AAAUCAAAUGCUACAUUUAAAAUAUAUUUGUGUGAAAAAAUACUAUUGUAUCUUUAGAAAUAAAAUUUGUGAACUGUAUGAUGAAUCUAAUUCUAUCUCAAAAUCUAGCAUCACCAAAAAUUGCAUAGGGGUAAUCCCCUAGGUUUAUAUGAAUUUUACAUGAAUUAGUACUCCAUAGCUCAAUCCCCUAUAAAAUUUCCGUAAAAUUAUUUUACUCUUUAAACAAGUAAUUUCUUCGCUCUCAGACCCGUUGACCCCGAUAUGGCAAGUCUCAAAUUACCUAGUCUGAACAUAUUUUGACGUACCUCCCGUGGCAAGUCUCAAACGAACACACCGUGGGUCAAGAACCUCCUAAAGGUCAUUCGCACAUCACAGCUAAGGGUGUGUUUGGUUCUCGGAAGGUUGGAUGGGAUAUGGUGAUUCAUAUUUUGCUGGAUAUGAUGAUCCAGUUUUUUUUUGGUGGAGUGAAUAUGACGAUCCAGUUUUUUAUUUGGUUGUAGGGAUGAAAGUGGAUAUGGUGAUCCAUUUUUUUAUUUGGUUGGGGGAGUGGGAUAGAUGAGUGGUUGCAAUCACCCGGUGAGUAUAACCCUCCAAAUUCUCACCCAAAAAAUAUCAAUCUACUAAAAAAAUCUAAAUAGAAAUAAAAAAGCAGAAAGAAAUAAAAGGGAAGGAAAAAAAAAGGAAAAAAAUCCUUCUCGGAAUCGCCGGCCGCCCCUCGCCGAAGGUCUUCGCCAGCAACCCCGCCGCCGCGCUUCCUCUCUCUCCCGCCGCCGCCGCCUCACCUCCUCUCUCCCCGGCCACCGCCGCUCGCCCUCUCUCACUGGCGCUCCCCAGAUCCGGUCGUCGCCGGCUCGCCUCCUCUCUCGUUGCCGAGCUCGCCUUGUCCCGCCGGCCGCAGGCGCCGCCGCCUCCCGCCGACGCGCUCUCGGCGCCCGUACCGUCGUCGUAGUCGGGUCCGCAUCGUCGUCGUCGUCGGGUCUGCACCGUCGUCGUCGUCGGGUCCGCGUCGUUGUCGUCACCGGCAGGCGUCUCCGAGCUCGCGCCUCCCCCGCCGGCGGCCGCCUACUCCCGCUGGCCGCCUCCUCCCGCCAGCCGCCGCCUCCCGCCGACGCGGCUAUCGCCGCCCGCACCGUCGUCGUCGUCGCCGGCUUGCCUCCUCUCUCGUCGCCGCGCCAGCGCCAGCCGCCGCGCCCGCAUCCCGCCGUCCCGCGCCAGCGCCCGGGGUGACGCGAGUCACGGGACCGCCUCCCUCGCUCGCCCAGCUUGCCCGGGCGCUUGGGCGGCUAGAUCCGGACAAAUCGGCCGGAUCCCUCUAUCCAGCAUCUGGGGGAAUAUUCCUUCUCAGGCCGCCCCAUCCCACCCCUGCCCAGCAACCAAACACCCACAAAAAAUAGACGGCCAUGUCCUAUCCACCCAUAUCCCUCUAUCCAAACACACCCUAUAAGCAUCCCCGGAUGAAAGCCUACCCCCACUACUAAGUAACGUUAACAAAUUACGAGUGCUUUUGCACUUUUGCUGCACAGGUUUGAGCUUUAACCUCAUUCCGGCCGAUUGGAUUUCGUGAAAAGUUUACGGCUUUGAUGGAUCGAGAUAAAAAAGAAAAAGGUAAUACUUUUAGUCGAUCUGUCAUGUUUGGCUAGUUUGGUGACUUUGGUCAAAGACCUCAAUAUCUGAUGCAGAUUGCCAUCUCCUGGUAGUAGAUAGGAGAUAAAUAAGAAGAGAUAAGAAUAACAUGUUAUAAAUUUAUAGCCAACUAUAGCACAAACUAGACAUAAACAUAAUAUGUAUGAUAGGUGGGACCAGAUAUUACUGGUGUAGUAUAUGUUUAUAGAUAACUAUUGUAUGAAUUAACUAUUAAAUUGAUUAUAAAUAAUUUGGAGCUAGUAGUUGGCUAUACUAUUAAACUUGCUAUUAGCACUUAAUCAAUCUCAAGUUAUUAAUUAGUAACUUAUUAAAAGCGUUGACACGGCCGGCGACCUUUAAUGGUACCACCAUUUCACACUUUUACGGCGCUAAUUAAUCAACUCUCGUUUGUUUAGGCUCUGUUCGUUUGGGCAGGUUCCCAACUUCUCUUUCCCGUUUUCCACGCGCACGUUUUUAAAACUGCUAAACGGUACAUUUUUGUAAAAAGUUUUUAUACGAAAGUUGCUUAAAAAAUCAAUUAAUCUAUUUUUUUAAAAAAUAGUAAAUACUUAAUUAAUCACAUAUUAAUGGACUGUUCCGUUUUUCAUACAGGGAGUUGGGUUCUCAACCGCAUGAAACGAACAUAACCACGCCUGUUUGGAGUAUUAAAAUCGUCUUAACGUUGAUUUUUUCACUUACGAUGGAGGUCUUCAGGUUGAUUAAUAUAUUCCCCGCGCACGCUGACGCGAUCUCUAUACGCGGUUCAACUGGUAACAAUAACAUCACGCGGACAGCGGACUACACGUAUACACGGACACGGGUUGUUUGUGUUGCAGACUUGCAGCCGGCUGGGCCUGGGCGUAUAUUAAGUGCAAGUUUUAAUUAAUACGGAGUGAUAUAGAUAACUACCUUUUUCUUAUACUAAAGCUAAUAUACUAACUCCAUUCCAUAAUAAUUAUAUUUCUAGAAUUUAAAUUUCCAAAAAUAAUUAUCACAAUAGAAUAUUAAUUAUCCCAUCAAUCACUUCUUAUUUAAAUUUCUUUCUAUUCUACCCUUAACCACUAGUCUUUCUUCUCAAACCUUAGAAUUACAAUUAUUUUAAACAAAUAUAGUAUAAUAGGUUGGUUCUUUUCUUUUUCU
This 2763-nucleotide long non-coding RNA is filed under the name Oryza sativa (Asian cultivated rice). RNAcentral's name for it is "long non-coding RNA (OSAT_LNC000832)". The record is from RNAcentral. Lineage: Eukaryota; Viridiplantae; Streptophyta; Magnoliopsida; Poales; Poaceae.